GGUACGAUAUAUUACAACCAUAGUUUGAAACAACUUAAUCAUGCAGGUCAGUGUGGUUCUAAGAAUUUAAAACCAGUCUGGAAGAAAAACAAAUAUUUAAGUUUCAAUCUAGAGUAUCAUGAGACUCAUAAGAUACCCUAGGUCUUCAGGGCUUCCUCUUUGGUGAGUCCCUGCUGGCUUUCUGAAAACAACAACAAGGGAUCCCCUGAGUACGAAGUACUCAGCAAGUCUUACCCGACUAACCAAUAUAAUAGCUUUCUUUGGAAGUGUAUGCUUAGCUUUUUGGUGUACUUGGCUAAUGCAAUUUUUGCCGAAAAGCUUACUACAAGUGAUACCUUAGUUUUAUCUUUCAUUUGGAUUAAGUUAUUACCUAACCAUUCUAAAUGAUAACAGAAGUAAAAGCAACCAUAGCUGUUAAGUCAUACAUUACUCGACAACAGGAGAUUUUAUAUCGCAUGAGUUGAUACUACGAUGCUCAACAGUGAUCAAGUGCAUUCAUAACCGAGAAUUGCGGCGAUCCGGAUCAAAUUACAUCCUGCAGGAGAGUACCCCGAUCACCAGCAUUAUACGACUGUUCCGGUUGUAUCUCACAACCUCUCGAUUAGCAAAGUCAAUGAUUAGGAAUACAACUACCCGGAUCCAGGGAUGCACCCCCACAUGGGACCCCACGUCUGGCCUGAUCUCCAUGUGAGUUUCAGGCUACACCCCUGCCAAUCUCCAGCACGUCAAAUGCGGGUACGAAGCAUUCCUGAUCAUAGAAUUUACUAAUCUACUGGGCUUUACUAGUCCCAUACCCAGUAAGUGAUCAGAUGUUAUCACUUGAUCAGUAGUUAAGACACGGAUCGGUCCUCAAUCAGAUUAAUUAGCAGACAGAACUACAUCUCUAGCUUCUGUCUGGUUCUAUAUUCCAAACUAUCCUUCAUAAGCAACAUGUAUGACUUAAGAGUUUUCCUUAAGGUUGGUAAACCAAUCAUGUAAGCAAGUAAGCAAUUCUAGACUUGAGUAGUUUCUAGGAUUUGAACAAGUGGCAAAGAUGUCCUUAAAUCAAGGCAUGAUCAUACACAAGAAUAGGUUCCAUCCAACUCCUAGACUUAGUAUAUGCAAUAAACAAAUAACCUAUAACUAGUCACAUGAAAUAACGACUCUUAAAAUAGAUAGGUAUAAAUGCACCGGGGCUUGCCUGGGAUCAACAAGGUUAGUUCUUCGGAAAACUUGUUUAUUGAAAGAGGCACUGCGAAUGCUGUCCAUCUCCAGCUGAAAUCCAUGAAUUCCCACUCCAGGAGUUGUGACGUCUAUGAUUCAGUAUAUGCAAGAGUUAGAGAUGCAAACUUUUGAAUACAAGACUAUACAACUUUCCUUCAUGAUAAAGUUGCAAGCCAACAAGGACUAGACAAUUUAUCAUGAUAAAGUUGCAAGCCAACACACAAAAACCCGAAAAGAUUAGCCCACCAUUUUUAUUUAUUUUUAAAAGCAUUAUAAUAAUUUUCUAAUCUCAAAACCUAAUUCCUAUGAAUUAAUAAUGAUUUGUGGAUAAUAAAGCAUUUUUCAAAUUUUUAUACAUUUUAUAAAGUUUAAGCAUUUAUUUAAAUACCUUAGAUAAAAAGGCAUUAAAUAAAUACCUAAAUUUUUAUUAUUUUUCCUAGGGUUUAAGAAUUUUAAUGCAUAAAGGAAAAUAAAACAAUCCUAAUAAAAUUGGUUUCACUAAUUUUGGAUACUUCUAGAAUUUCCUGUGAAUUAAAUGGUGAAAACUGUAUUUAAUCUAUUUAUCUAAUAAAGAAAACCUAAGGUUUAAUUAAAACCCCCGGCCCAAACUUUUCUCACCCAACUUGCUUCUACCCACCAUUACUUCCACCUAGGGCCCAUCUGGUUUCCUAUUCUCCUUCUUCUUUUCUUCCUUGACAAGUGGGGCCCACGGCCGGCAUUUUCCUCGGGCCGAGAAGUGGCCCAUCAAUCUUAAUCCGCGGCAGCUCCCUUUUGGGCCGGUUCUCCCUUCUCUCCUCUUUCUUAAUCCCGGCCGGCCCACCUUCUUUUCUCCUCUCUUUAUGCUGCGCGGGCCAGCUGGGCUGGCGUCCUCCCCUCGGCCCAAAACGGACAGCUGACCCUCUUCUUUUUCUUUUCUUUUCUCCGACGGUUGGCCUGCUUAAACCGGCCCAUUGGCUUUUCCCUUCUCCUUUUGCACCGUGCGGCCAGCUGGGCUGACGCCUUUUUUUUUGGCCCACGACGGGCGGCGGCCUCUUUUCUUUUUCUGCCGCUCCCACCUGGGCUUCCCCCACCGGGACUUGACUUCCCGGCCCAAAAUCACCGACCGGCCUGCCUCUCCUCCCUUUCUCCUUCCAAUCCCCUGGCGCCUCUUCUUCCUCCCUACGCUCAGAACAGGGGCGCACGCCGGCGGGGCAAAACGGGACGGGCCCCGGCCAACGGCGGCUCGCCGGCGGCCGAGCCGGCCGGAGCGGUGGCGCCCCAGGCCAGGCGCACCCGCGCCCACUGCCCGCUCGCCGGGAGGCGGCCCGAGCCGGCCCCUCCACGGGCGGCCGCGGCUUGGCCAUCGGCCGGCCAUGGCGGCGCACGGAGGCGGCACAAGCUGUUCCCCUGACUUCCCCAACAGCUCCCACAUCCUAGCAGGACACCCCUAGGCCCGCCAAUCGAGAAGGAAAAGCCGAUUCAGGAGCUCACCUUGGGGAUUGGAUGACGGCGGCCGGCGGAUGGAAAUAGCGGCACACCGGAGCUUGACGGCGGGGAGCUGGAAAAUGGAGGAGCUUGGGACGUUGAGG
RNAcentral lists this long non-coding RNA (2771 nucleotides) under Setaria italica (foxtail millet). RNAcentral describes it as "long non-coding RNA (SITA_LNC006865)". The record is from RNAcentral. Lineage: Eukaryota; Viridiplantae; Streptophyta; Magnoliopsida; Poales; Poaceae.